GAUCGUUUUUACACUGUUUAUGUUCGAUUUGUGUGCUGGUCAAUUUGAGAGUUCGAUUCAUUUGGGUGCUUCGGUCGAUUUGGUAGAAUUUUCUGUUCUAUUUUCUGUUGAAUUUUUUUUUGGCAGUAUUUUUGUUCCAUUUGGUAUGUGGGUUUUGUGGUUUUGCUAAAAAGUAUUACCAAUCUCAUUUCGUACUGUUUGUUUGCAGCCCUACGCACGUGCAUUAUAUGACUAGGGUAGAAUGACAUGGGAAGAAUCUAGGGAUUGUUAUGUUUAACGAUGACUAGUAAGGCUUGGUUGGUUAUUCUUUUUUUGUGAUUUGGUUUUAUGGAGCAAUUUUUGGAAAUUCGUUUGGAAUUUAUUUGUUGUGUAACCACCAAAGAAGAUGUUUUCAAAUCAGGAAACUCUGAAGCAAUAUGAAAAUGAUGAGUAUUUUCAUGAUUGGUGGAAAACUUAGAUGCAAUGGGUUCGUAACAACUCUAAAAGUGCCCUUUUCAGUUUGCUCAGACUUUGAAUUAAAAGCAUGCUUCCCUAUAUCUGAAUGUAUGUAGUGGUUUAGUGACGAAAAGGAUUUUAGCUGUCUAGACUCAACAUCUCACAGAUGUUUAAUAAUUGGUCCAUGAGCAAUUUUUCUCUAUUGUGUGAAUCUUUACUGGGUGGCACAAUAUUC
Long non-coding RNA from Rhododendron vialii, 670 nucleotides. RefSeq lists it as uncharacterized. The transcript is spliced from 2 exons. NCBI's taxonomy places the organism in Eukaryota, Viridiplantae, Streptophyta, Magnoliopsida, Ericales, Ericaceae. The record is from RefSeq and is a predicted model, not a curated record.